CACCGCCCGUCACACCCUGGGAAUUGGUUUCGCCCGAAGCAUCGGACCAAUGAGCACCCAUGACUUCUAUGUACCACUAGUGCCACAAAGGCCUUUGGUGGUCUUAUUGGCGCAUACCACGGUGGGGUCUUCGACUGGGGUAAAGUCGUAACAAGGUAGCCAUAGGGGAACCUGUGGCUG
Molecule: ribosomal RNA, 180 nt
Filed under: Triticum aestivum (bread wheat)
Lineage: Eukaryota; Viridiplantae; Streptophyta; Magnoliopsida; Poales; Poaceae
Description: rRNA SSU_rRNA_eukarya
Rfam family: Bacterial small subunit ribosomal RNA
Source: Rfam by way of RNAcentral